Molecule: ribosomal RNA, 325 nt
Filed under: uncultured eukaryote
Lineage: Eukaryota
Description: partial 18S ribosomal RNA
Rfam family: Eukaryotic small subunit ribosomal RNA
Source: RNAcentral
CCCUUAGAUGUCCUGGGCCGCACGCGCGCUACAAUGACACGUUCAACAAGUACUUUCCUGGCUUGGAAAAGUUUCGGGUAAUCUUUAUAAUACGUGUCGUGCUGGGGAUUGAUCUUUGGAAUUAUAGAUCUUGAACGAGGAAUUCCUAGUAAGCAUAAGUCAUCAGCUUGUGCUGAUUACGUCCCUGCCCUUUGUACACACCGCCCGUCGCUCCUACCGAUUGAAUGUUCCGGUGAGCUCUUCGGACUGCGCGGUCUGCAGUUUCUGCGUUCCGUGCGGAAAGUUGCGCAAACCUUAACAUUUAGAGGAAGGAGAAGUCGUAACA